GAUGAACGCUAGCGGGAUGCUUAACACAUGCAAGUCGAACGAGAAUUCGUCUUCGGACGAAGGAAAGUGGCAAACGGGCGAGUAACGCGUACUUAAUCUAGCCAGAAGAUGGGAACAACUACGGAGACGUAGCUAAUUCCCAAUAAUCCCAUAUGAAUGAAAAUAUUAUGGGCAAAGAUUUAUCGCUUUUGGAGGAGGGUGCGUCCUAUCAGGUAGUUGGUGGGGUAAGAGCCUACCAAGCCUAUGACGGGUAGUCGGUCUGAGAGGAUGUCCGACCGCAAUGGGACUGAGACACGGCCCAUACUCCUACGGGAGGCAGCAGUGGGGAAUUUUGCGUAAUGGGCGAAAGCCUGACGCAGCAAUCCCGCGUGAAGGAUGAAGCAUUAUGGUGUGUAAACUUCUUUUCUGGUGGAAGACGAAUGACGGUACACCAGGAAUAAAGGACGGCUAACUACGUGCCAGCAGCCGCGGUAAUACGUAGGUCCUAAGUGUUAUCCGGAUUUACUGGGCGUAAAGAGUCUGUAGCCGGAUAAGUAAGUCUAUUUUCAAAUCCUAUGGCUUAACCAUAGAAAGGGAAUAGAUACUGCUUAUCUAGAGAUUGUUAGGGGUUAGUGGAAUUUCCGGUGGAGCGGUGAAAUGCGUUGAUAUCGGAAGGAACGACGAAAGCGAAAGCAGCUAACUAUAACAAAUCUGACGGUCAGAGACGAAAGCUUGGGGAGCAAACAGGAUUAGAUACCCUGGUAGUCCAAGCCGUAAAUUAUGCUUGCUAGGUCCUUCGUUCCGAUUUAUCGGGAUGGAGUGCCGCAAUCUAACGAGUUAAGCAAGCCGCCUGGGUAGUAUAUUCGCAAGAAUGAAACUCAA
RNAcentral lists this ribosomal RNA (861 nucleotides) under uncultured candidate division SR1 bacterium. Its description in RNAcentral is "bacterial SSU rRNA". It matches the Rfam family "Bacterial small subunit ribosomal RNA", at positions 28 to 904 of the family's 1533-position model. Lineage: Bacteria; Candidatus Absconditibacteriota. The record is from RNAcentral.